AAUAGGCUAAUUUUCCCCAAGAGCUCACAUUGACAGGAAGGUUUGACACCUCGAUGUCGGCUCUUCGCUACCUGGGGCUGUAGUAUGUUCCAAGGGUUGGGCUAUUCGCCCAUUAAAUCGGUAUAUGUGAGUUGGGUUCAGAACGUCGUGUCACAGUUC
RNAcentral lists this non-coding RNA (159 nucleotides) under Capsicum annuum. Its description in RNAcentral is "Bacterial large subunit ribosomal RNA". It matches the Rfam family "Bacterial large subunit ribosomal RNA", at positions 2476 to 2632 of the family's 2925-position model. The record is from Rfam by way of RNAcentral. Lineage: Eukaryota; Viridiplantae; Streptophyta; Magnoliopsida; Solanales; Solanaceae.